Molecule: ribosomal RNA, 301 nt
Filed under: uncultured bacterium
Lineage: Bacteria
Description: partial 16S ribosomal RNA
Rfam family: Bacterial small subunit ribosomal RNA
Source: RNAcentral
CAGUAGCCGCGGUAAAACGGAGGGUGCAAGCGUUAAUCGGAAUUACUGGGCGUAAAGCGCACGCAGGCGGUCUGACAAGUCAGAUGUGAAAUCCCCGGGCUUAACCUGGGAACUGCAUUUGAAACUGUCAGGCUGGAGUCUUGUAGAGGGGGGUGGAAUUCCAGGUGUAGCGGUGAAAUGCGUAGAGAUCUGGAGGAAUACCGGUGGCGAAGGCGGCCCCCUGGACAAAGACUGACGCUCAGGUGCGAAAGCGUGGGGAGCAAACAGGAUUAGAGACCCCAGUAGUCCCUGUCUCUUAUAC